This 65-nucleotide transfer RNA is filed under the name Echinolaelaps echidninus. RNAcentral's name for it is "tRNA-Leu". The record is from RNAcentral. Lineage: Eukaryota; Metazoa; Arthropoda; Arachnida; Mesostigmata; Laelapidae.
AUUAAAUUGGCAGAAUUAAUGUAUCAAAUUUAGAAUUUGACAAUAGAAUUUUAUUUCAUUUAAUU